CCCUGCCAAACCCCCAGUAGCACCGAGUCCAUUUCCAGGGCUGAGAAUUUGCCCCAGACCACGAGCCUCCCCAUUAAGAAAGCAAGCUGACUCACCGUUUUUUGGCAUCUCGGGGAGCCUGCAGGGGUGAUCCAGUUCCUUCAAAGGGUCUGUGGAUCUUCUCGGCUUUCCUGGUGGCAGAAUGGAGAGAAGUAUCAGGCAUAAGCUACAGUCAUAUAAACCUUGAUACAGAUGUGAAUUGUGGUUUGUAGUCCUCCUUGAAGAAAU
This 267-nucleotide long non-coding RNA is filed under the name Homo sapiens (human). RNAcentral's name for it is "HSALNT0150877". Lineage: Eukaryota; Metazoa; Chordata; Mammalia; Primates; Hominidae. The record is from RNAcentral.